This 74-nucleotide transfer RNA is filed under the name Physella acuta. RNAcentral describes it as "tRNA-Gln". Lineage: Eukaryota; Metazoa; Mollusca; Gastropoda; Physidae. The record is from RNAcentral.
UUUUUCUAGGUGUAAAACAUUAAGUUGCACAAAAAGAUUUGAGCUUUUAGGAGGAUUCUAAUUUCCAGAAAAAA